This 429-nucleotide ribosomal RNA is filed under the name Chloroflexota bacterium. Its description in RNAcentral is "Chloroflexi bacterium partial 16S ribosomal RNA". It matches the Rfam family "Bacterial small subunit ribosomal RNA", at positions 355 to 776 of the family's 1533-position model. The record is from RNAcentral. Lineage: Bacteria; Bacillati; Chloroflexota.
UGGGGAAUAUUGCACAAUGGGCGCAAGCCUGAUGCAGCCAUGCCGCGUGUAUGAAGAAGGCCUUCGGUUUGUAAAGUACUUUCAGCGGGGAGGAAGGGAGUAAAGUUAAUACCUUUGCUCAUUGACGUUACCCGCAGUAGAAGCACCGGCUAACUCCGUGCCAGCAGCCGCUGUAAUACGGAGGGUGCAAGCGUUAAUCGGAAUUACUGGGCGUAAAGCGCACGCAGGCGGUUUGUUAAGUCAGAUGUGAAAUCCCAGGGCUCAACCUGGGAACUGCAUCUGAUACUGGCAAGCUUGAGUCUCGUAGAGGGGGGUAGAAUUCCAGGUGUAGAGGUGAAAUGCGUAGAGAGCUGGAGGAAUACCGGUGGCGAAGGCGGCCCCCUGGACGAAGACUGACGCUCAGGUGCGAAAGCGUGGGGAGCAAACAGG